GGAUUAGAUACCCUGGUAGUCCACGCUGUAAACGAUGAGUGCUCGGUGUUGCGGGUGUUGACCCCUGCAAUGCCUUAGCUAACGCGUUAAGCACUCCGCCUGGGGAGUACGGUUGCAAGGCUGAAACUCAAAGGAAUUGACGGGGGCCCGCACAAGCGGUGGAGCAUGUGGUUUAAUUCGAUGCAACGCGAAGAACCUUACCUGGGCUUGAACUGUGGGGGACCGCUCUGGAAACAGAGCUUCCACUUCGGUGGUCGCCACAGAGGUGCUGCAUGGCUGUCGUCAGCUCGUGUCG
This 295-nucleotide ribosomal RNA is filed under the name uncultured bacterium. RNAcentral describes it as "partial 16S ribosomal RNA". It matches the Rfam family "Bacterial small subunit ribosomal RNA", at positions 775 to 1067 of the family's 1533-position model. The record is from RNAcentral.